CCCUCGAUAGCUCAGGGGUAGAGCAGUGGACUGUAGAUCCAAUGGUCGCUGGUUCAAAUCCGGCUCGAGGGA
This 72-nucleotide transfer RNA is filed under the name Manduca sexta (tobacco hornworm). Its description in RNAcentral is "tRNA-Tyr". It matches the Rfam family "tRNA". From Rfam's summary of the family: Transfer RNA (tRNA) molecules are approximately 80 nucleotides in length. Their secondary structure includes four short double-helical elements and three loops (D, anti-codon, and T loops). Further hydrogen bonds mediate the characteristic L-shaped molecular structure. tRNAs have two regions of fundamental functional importance: the anti-codon, which is responsible for specific mRNA codon recognition, and the 3' end, to which the tRNAs corresponding amino acid is attached (by aminoacyl-tRNA synthetases). tRNAs cope with the degeneracy of the genetic code in two manners: having more than one tRNA (with a specific anti-codon) for a particular amino acid; and 'wobble' base-pairing, i.e. permitting non-standard base-pairing at the 3rd anti-codon position. Lineage: Eukaryota; Metazoa; Arthropoda; Insecta; Lepidoptera; Sphingidae. The record is from RNAcentral.